This 72-nucleotide transfer RNA is filed under the name Bos taurus (domestic cattle). It matches the Rfam family "tRNA". From Rfam's summary of the family: Transfer RNA (tRNA) molecules are approximately 80 nucleotides in length. Their secondary structure includes four short double-helical elements and three loops (D, anti-codon, and T loops). The record is from Rfam by way of RNAcentral. Lineage: Eukaryota; Metazoa; Chordata; Mammalia; Artiodactyla; Bovidae.
UCCCUCAUAGCUCAGUUAGUAAAGAAUCUGCCUGCAAUGCAGGAGACCUGGGUUCAAUUCCUGGUCGGGAAG